This is a long non-coding RNA of Oncorhynchus keta (chum salmon), 1339 nucleotides long. RefSeq lists it as uncharacterized. The transcript has 3 exons. Lineage: Eukaryota; Metazoa; Chordata; Actinopteri; Salmoniformes; Salmonidae. The record is from RefSeq and is a predicted model, not a curated record.
UAAGGGAUCAUCAAUCAGUGUGGAUGAAGCGGAGGAGACAGGUUAAAGAAGGAUUUUUGGGAUCCUGUCGGCCAAUAAGAGGCAGCGGUAGCAACAGGAACGAACGGGCCAGAAAUGGCCAGGAGUAGUGCGGAUAAAAUGGAGGAAAUUGAGGAAAAGAUGGUGAAGCAACAGCUGUGCUGGAGUGCAAACAAUAUGGGUGUCAGUUCUGAUGAUAUGGAGCGGGAGGAUAAGGGUCAAAGACCGGAAUAGUCGGUAGUGGAAAGACGGAGGAAGAAGAAAUAUCACGAUACAGAACGCAAUGGAGCAUCUAGUAAAGAAAGCAUAAAGGGAGCCAAGGUGGACCUACUGUCAGACUGAUGAAGCUUCCAUGACUGCUCCUGUACUAGGUGGACCUACUGUCAGACUGAUGAAGCUUCCAUGACUGCUCCUGUACUAGGUGGACCUACUGUCAGACUGAUGAAGCUUUCAUGACUGCUUCUGUACUAGAUGGACCUACUGUCGGGGUAGGUGCUUCUGAUGGUCCUGGCGUGGUUUCGAGGCCUGUAUUCGGAAAUCUUGUUAUUUAUAUGUGUCAAAUUACACUUUGAUAAUGAAUAAAGUUGACUUCAUAGCUUUUAUUGGUAAGGUUAUCAAUACGACUCGGUGUGGAAAGCAGAAAUGCCAGUUUGAAGGUUAUUGUGGAGACUGCAAAAGAGAUAUUGGGGUAACGAUGUUACUGUUGAAAUCCUAUGGGUGGAAUGUUUCAGUAUGAUAUAGAUAAAGGUUGGUGAGGGGAAGAAGUUAGUAGGGAUGUAUUUGUAUUUUAUUUUCAUUGGAAGUACAGAAUUGUACAGGUCAUGAUUGAUCGUACAUUCCAGCACAGUAGGUGGCGGCAUGCACUUAAACAAUUGUUUACAGACCUCCAUGAUAUAGAAGAAAGAUUUUUCAACCUUGAGACAUGGAUUGUGUGUGUACCAUUCAGAGGGUGAAAGGGUGAAGGGGGCCAGGACCGAGUCAUAGGAAUGUCAUGUAUAGAGCUAGCCAUGAUUCGUUACUCUACAUAGAACCCUCCUCAAUAAUCUCCUGAAUACAAUACAUUUUGGACCCUAACGGUUAUUUCGCUGUGGUGCUGAGGGCCAGUCACAACAUGUUCUAUUCAAGGUUACAGGGAUAACAUUUUCAGACUGCUGUUUCAGACUCAAGGCCUCUCAUUUAAGCCCUACUAGCACCAGAUUUGUAUUACUAUAGAGCGUUAUGUAUUACUACAGAGCGUUAUGUAUUACUAUAGAACGUUAUGUAUUACUAUAGAACGUUAUGUAUUACUAUAGAACGUUAUGUAUUACUACAGAACGUUAUG